Molecule: ribosomal RNA, 400 nt
Filed under: phytoplankton environmental sample
Lineage: Eukaryota
Description: partial small subunit ribosomal RNA
Rfam family: Eukaryotic small subunit ribosomal RNA
Source: RNAcentral
AGCUCCAGUAGCGUAUAUUAAAGUUGUUGCAGUUAAAAAGCUCGUAGUUGGAUUUCUGGCGUGAUGUCUUCUGACCCGCGAUUUAUGUCGUGAGUGUCGGUGAGCAUCUGCCAUCCUUUCAGAAAACCUUUCUACCCUUCACUGGGCCGGAUUGGCGAUCUGGAACUUUUACUUUGAAAAAAUUAGAGUGUUCAAAGCAGGCUUGCGCUAUGAAUACAUUAGCAUGGAAUAAUAAUUUAGGGCUUUGGUUCUAUUUUGUUGGUUUCUAGGAUCGAAGCAAUGAUUGAUAGGGAUAGUUGGGGGUGCUAGUAUUAAGCGGCCAGAGGUGAAAUUCUUGGAUUCGCUUAAGACUAACUUAUGCGAAAGCAUUCACCAAGGAUGUCUUCUUUAAUCAAGAACG